RNAcentral lists this ribosomal RNA (460 nucleotides) under uncultured bacterium. Its description in RNAcentral is "partial 16S ribosomal RNA". It matches the Rfam family "Bacterial small subunit ribosomal RNA", at positions 338 to 795 of the family's 1533-position model. The record is from RNAcentral.
CCUACGGGCGGCAGCAGUGAGGAAUAUUGGUCAAUGGGCGAAAGCCUGAACCAGCCAAGUCGCGUGAGGGAUGACGGCCCUAUGGAUUGUAAACUUCUUUUGUCAGGGAGCAAGGGGCUCCACGCGUGGCCGGAGCGAGAGUACCCGAAGAAAAAGCAUCGGCUAACUCCGUGCCAGCAGCCGCGGUAAUACGGAGGAUGCGAGCGUUAUCCGGAUUUAUUGGGUUUAAAGGGUGCGUAGGCGGAAGGUUAAGUCAGCGGUAAAAAGUCGGGGCUCAACCCCGUCGUGCCGUUGAAACUGGUGUUCUUGAGUGAGCGAGAAGUAUGCGGAAUGCGUGGUGUAGCGGUGAAAUGCAUAGAUAUCACGCAGAACUCCGAUUGCGAAGGCAGCAUACCGGCGCUCAACUGACGCUGAUGCACGAAAGCGUGGGUAUCGAACAGGAUUAGAUACCCCAGUAGUC